RNAcentral lists this unclassified non-coding RNA (605 nucleotides) under Hevea brasiliensis (rubber tree). Lineage: Eukaryota; Viridiplantae; Streptophyta; Magnoliopsida; Malpighiales; Euphorbiaceae. The record is from RNAcentral.
GUAAUUUUGAUGGUAUUUUUAAGCAGACAGGGGAUGCUACUAGAGGACCUUCGGUGUUCUGAAAUUAUUGGGUCUCUUGGGUGCCGCCUCCUUCAGAGUGGUUUAAACUCAACGCCGAUGGGGCAAUUGUGCAGUCCAGUAGUUUGGCUUCUGGUAGCGUUUGUGGCGAAUGGGGGCAGAUGCUUAGUGGUUAUGGCAGAGUUGUGGGCUAUUUGGGAAGGUCUUCGGUUAGCUGAGAAGUUUGGGUUUGCCGAGGAUUUAGCUUGAAUGUGAUAACUUGCUGGUAGUUCAGUGCUUGGAGGGGAAGGUUGAAUCGCCACGGAGUGCUUUAGCUCUUGUUUCUCCAUCAGAGCUUUGCUUGAUAAGAGUUGAUGUUUGCGCCUGAACCAUGCUUGGAAGGAAGCGAAUUUCUGUGCAGAUUGCUUAGCUGGUGUUGCCUCUAGUUUUCCCAUUGGAGUCCGUGAGCUCCAGCAUCCUCCACAAUCCUUGCUGCAAUGGCAAUCGCAUGAUCAGUAUGGAGUAGCGUAAUCUCGUUUUAGUUCUUUGUAGUUCUGUGUGUUUCUUUCCCUUCAUUACCCGAAAAAACAAAAUUCUUAGACAAUUUG